RNAcentral lists this ribosomal RNA (45 nucleotides) under Halopseudomonas bauzanensis. RNAcentral's name for it is "Pseudomonas bauzanensis partial 23S rRNA. Bacterial LSU". The record is from RNAcentral. Lineage: Bacteria; Pseudomonadati; Pseudomonadota; Gammaproteobacteria; Pseudomonadales; Pseudomonadaceae.
AGGCGUUGAGCUAACCAGUACUAAUUGCCCGUGUGGCUUGACCAU